This is a long non-coding RNA of Eupeodes corollae, 844 nucleotides long. RefSeq lists it as uncharacterized. The transcript is spliced from 2 exons. The record is from RefSeq and is a predicted model, not a curated record. NCBI's taxonomy places the organism in Eukaryota, Metazoa, Arthropoda, Insecta, Diptera, Syrphidae.
GUGCAUUCACCCUACAAAAAUUAUCUCAUCAUCCAUUUAACGGUUUUCUAUUGCAUUUCAAAUUAAAACCUUAAUUUAAUCAUUUUUCGAACAAAACAAUAUCAACAAGAACACAACUGGUUUUUUAAGUUUAUCAGAGAAAAGUUAUUAUUAUUGCAACAAAUUUUUGGCAGCUCAGUUUUAAUUUUUCUGAUGCAAUAUUUUGUUUGCAACUAAUAAGAAAUGCAUAAUAUUAGUAAUUGUUAAAAAAAAAAAAAAAACAAAGUAUAAAUUAUCAAGCUUGUCAUCUAGGUAUAAUUCCAUUGGUAAGGUUAAUAAAACUUAUCUUCAUCCCAGUUUUUGUCAGGUACUUGAUUAUUAAAGGCAAAUGUAGAUCGUUAAAAUUAUAUCCCAAUCCAGUUUUUUGAAAAGAUUUCUGCAUUCUGCAUUCUAAAAAAACAACAAUUUUUGUAUGCUUACAUUUUUUUGUAUAAAAGGAGAAAGAUUAUUUGAUAAUGUCAUCAGUCGAUUUUUGUUAAACAAUCAACAAUCACCUAAAACAUCAACAUGAAGUUCUUCAUCUUUUUUGCCUUGUUCAUUGUUGCCGUUAGUGCUGGAAGUCUUCCCAUUAUUGCCAGUUCAAGUUAUGGUGCAGCUAGACCAGCCCUUAUUACUACAUCAGUAGUUAGGCCUGUAGCUGUGGUUAAAACUGUCAAUGUUGCCCCAGUUGGAGUUAAACUUCUUUAAAAUUUAAAAUUUAAGUCCUUUUAAAAUUGGAAAUGAAAAAAAUUGACCAGCAAAAAUUGUACUUAUAACAAUAUUAGAAAAAAAAUAAAUGUAUUUUAAGUUAUCAGCAUUCUAAAAA